Molecule: ribosomal RNA, 435 nt
Filed under: uncultured bacterium
Lineage: Bacteria
Description: partial 16S ribosomal RNA
Rfam family: Bacterial small subunit ribosomal RNA
Source: RNAcentral
AUCGAACGCUGGCGGCAGGCUUAACACAUGCAAGUCGAACGGGCGUCUUCGGGUGUCCGUGGCAGACGGGUUAGUAAACGGGUGGAACGUACCCUUCGGUUCGGCCUAACUCGGGGGAGCUUGAGCUAAUACCGGGUACGCUAUUUCGUGGGAAGGUUUACUGCCGAAGGAUCGCCCCCCGUCUGAUUAGCUUGUGGGUGGGGUAACGGCCUACCAAGGCGACGAUCAGUAGCUGGUCUGAGAGGAUGAUCCGCGACACUGGGAGUGGGACACGGCCCAGACUCUUACGGGAGGCAGCAGUGGGGAAUAUAGGACAAUGGGCGCAAGCCUGAUCCAGCCAUGCCGCGUGAGUGAUGAAGGCCUUAGGGUUGUAAAGCUCUUUUGUCCGGGACGAUAAUGACGGUACCGGAAGAAUAAGCCCCGGCUAACUUCGUG